This 465-nucleotide ribosomal RNA is filed under the name Vreelandella stevensii. RNAcentral describes it as "partial 16S ribosomal RNA". It matches the Rfam family "Bacterial small subunit ribosomal RNA", at positions 338 to 795 of the family's 1533-position model. Lineage: Bacteria; Pseudomonadati; Pseudomonadota; Gammaproteobacteria; Oceanospirillales; Halomonadaceae. The record is from RNAcentral.
CCUACGGGCGGCAGCAGUGGGGAAUAUUGGACAAUGGGGGGAACCCUGAUCCAGCCAUGCCGCGUGUGUGAAGAAGGCCCUCGGGUUGUAAAGCACUUUCAGUGAGGAAGAACGCCUGGUGGUUAAUACCCAUCAGGAAAGACAUCACUCACAGAAGAAGCACCGGCUAACUCCGUGCCAGCAGCCGCGGUAAUACGGAGGGUGCGAGCGUUAAUCGGAAUUACUGGGCGUAAAGCGCGCGUAGGUGGCUUGAUAAGCCGGUUGUGAAAGCCCCGGGCUCAACCUGGGAACGGCAUCCGGAACUGUCAAGCUAGAGUACAGGAGAGGAAGGUAGAAUUCCCGGUGUAGCGGUGAAAUGCGUAGAGAUCGGGAGGAAUACCAGUGGCGAAGGCGGCCUUCUGGACUGACACUGACACUGAGGUGCGAAAGCGUGGGUAGCAAACAGGAUUAGAUACCCCUGUAGUC